GUCGAGCGAGGUAGCAAUACCGAGCGGCAGACGGGUGAGUAAUACGUAGGAAUCUACCCUAGAGUCUCGGAUACCCGGCCGAAAGGUCGGCUAAUACGAGAUAGUCUCCACGGAGUAAAGAUUUAUCGCUCUAGGAAGAGCCUGCGUCCUAUCAGCUUGUUGGUGAGGUAAAGCUCACCAAGGCACCGACGGGUAGCUGGUCUGAGAGGAUGAUCAGCCACAAUGGCACUGAGACACGGGCCAUACAUCUACGGAUGGCAGCAGGUGGGUAUAUUGCGCAAUGGGCGAAAGCCUGACGCAGCGACGCCGCGUGAAGGAUUGAAGGUUUUCGGAUCGUAAACUUCUUUUGUCGGGGACGAUUAUGACGGUACCCGGCGAAUAAGGGCCGGCUAACUACGUGCCAGCAGCCGCGGUAAUACGUAGGGCCCAAGCGUUAUCCGGAUUUACUGGGCGUAAAGAGCAUGUAGGUGGUUUUUCAAGUUGCUUGUUAAAGCUCUCGGCUCAACCGAGAAAUCGCAGGCAAUACUGAUAGACUAGAGAAUAGCAGGGGCAAGUGGAAUUUGUGGUGUAGGGAUUAAAUCCGUUGAUAUCACAAAGAACACCUAUGGCGAAGGCAGCUUGCUAGGCUAUUUCUGACACUGAGAUGCGAAAGCGUGGGGAGCGAACGGGAUUAGAUACCCCGGUAGUCCACGCUGUAAACGAUGCAUACUAGGCAUUGGGAGUAUCGACCCUCCUUGUGCCGAAGCUAACGCGUUAAGUAUGCCGCCUGGGGAGUACGGCCGCAAGGCUAAAACUCAAAGGAAUUGGCGGGGACUCGCACAAGCGGUGGAGCGUGUGGUUUAAUUCGACAUUAAACGAAGAACCUUACCAGGUUUGACAUCCUGCGAAAGUCUAGGAAACUAGACCGUGCUCGCAAGAGAGCGCAGUGACAGGUGCUGCACGGCUGUCGACAGCUCGUGCUGUGAAGUGUCGGGUUAAGUCCGUAAACGAGCGAAACCUUAUCGUGUGUGCACUGUUUCACCGAGACUGCC
RNAcentral lists this ribosomal RNA (1031 nucleotides) under uncultured bacterium. RNAcentral describes it as "bacterial SSU rRNA". It matches the Rfam family "Bacterial small subunit ribosomal RNA", at positions 61 to 1153 of the family's 1533-position model. The record is from RNAcentral.